RNAcentral lists this signal recognition particle RNA (304 nucleotides) under Solanum tuberosum (potato). RNAcentral describes it as "SRP RNA Plant_SRP". It matches the Rfam family "Plant signal recognition particle RNA". Lineage: Eukaryota; Viridiplantae; Streptophyta; Magnoliopsida; Solanales; Solanaceae. The record is from Rfam by way of RNAcentral.
GUCGAGCUUAGUAACUUGGGCUUGAAACCUAAGUGGGGACAUUAAUGUGGUGGAAUGUUGGGCUGUCCCAGAUGGUUGGGCUUGGUGGGCUAAUUUCAGGCCUGCCCUAUCCAAGCACAGAGUUGGAUCAUGUGGGCCCAAUUGAAAGAAUGGGCUGCUUGAUUCCUAAAGUGGGGCGGACUGCGUGAGGCUGGUUUCACAGAGCAACGAUCAGUUUCCGCUCUGUGCAGUGGAAGGAUAAUGGACCGAUGCCUUUCAAGUCCAGUAACGCAUGAUGGGCUGCUCCAAUUAAACCACCACUUUU